This 390-nucleotide ribosomal RNA is filed under the name uncultured bacterium. RNAcentral's name for it is "bacterial SSU rRNA". It matches the Rfam family "Bacterial small subunit ribosomal RNA", at positions 28 to 419 of the family's 1533-position model. The record is from RNAcentral.
AGCGAACGCUGGCGGCGUGCUUAACACAUGCAAGUCGAGCGGUAAGGCCCUUUCGGGGGUACACGAGCGGCGAACGGGUGAGUAACACGUGGGUGACCUGCCCUCAGCUCUGGGAUAAGCCUGGGAAACUGGGUCUAAUACCGGAUAUGACUCCAUGACGCAUGUUGUGGGGUGGAAAGCCUUGUGCGGCUGAGGAUGGGCCCGCGGCCUAUCAGCUUGUUGGUGGGGUGAUGGCCUACCAAGGCGACGACGGGUAGCCGGCCUGAGAGGGCGACCGGCCACACUGGGACUGAGACACGGCCCAGACUCCUACGGGAGGCAGCAGUGGGGAAUCUUGCGCAAUGGGCGAAAGCCUGACGCAGCGACGCCGCGUGAGGGAUGACGGCCUGG